Molecule: small RNA, 129 nt
Filed under: Serratia marcescens
Lineage: Bacteria; Pseudomonadati; Pseudomonadota; Gammaproteobacteria; Enterobacterales; Yersiniaceae
Also listed under: 6 other names
Description: RtT sRNA
Rfam family: RtT RNA
About the family: This family represents a bacterial cis-regulatory element known as RtT RNA. The exact function of RtT is unknown although it is thought that it may be involved in changing the cellular response in relation to amino acid starvation.
Source: RNAcentral
UUCGUCUGCAGUUUAUGAGGAUGAGCACCUCCGCAGGAGGUUCGAGCCUCGCGAAGCGAGACAACGUUGCUUUAGCAACGGCCCGCAGGGCGCGCAUCAACGAUGCGCGUAAUCCUCUCUCGCCGACCA